UGGGGAAUUUUGGACAAUGGGGGCAACCCUGAUCCAGCAAUGCCGCGUGAGUGAAGAAGGCCUUCGGGUUGUAAAGCUCUUUUGUUAGGGAAGAAACGGUUAGAUUUAAUAAAUUUAAUUAAUGACGGUACCUAAAGAAUAAGCACCGGCUAACUACGUGCCAGCAGCCGCGGUAAUACGUAGGGUGCAAGCGUUAAUCGGAAUUACUGGGCGUAAAGCGUGCGCAGGCGGUUAUGUAAGACAGAUGUGAAAUGCCCGGGCUCAACCUGGGGACUGCAUUUGUGACUGCAUGGCUAGAGUGUGUCAGAGGGGGGUAGAAUUCCACGUGUAGCAGUGAAAUGCGUAGAUAUGUGGAGGAAUACCGAUGGCGAAGGCAGCCCCCUGGGAUAACACUGACGCUCAUGCACGAAAGCGUGGGGAGCAAACAGG
Molecule: ribosomal RNA, 429 nt
Filed under: uncultured bacterium
Lineage: Bacteria
Description: bacterial SSU rRNA
Rfam family: Bacterial small subunit ribosomal RNA
Source: RNAcentral